GUUGUUGUUAAGGUUUUAUUUUAUAUUUUUAAGAUAUUUGGCUAGUAUUGUGAGUGGUGGUUAUGGAAUUUUUAUAGAUUAGUAGUACUGUUGGGGAAUGUAAGUUUAUUUGUUUAUAAAAUUAGGUUUUUUAUUACCUUUUGUAUUAGGGUCUUUUAAUGUGAGGUUGUAUUAAUAUUGUCUCGAUGAAUAUCGGGCUAUUUUAUUUGGUGUUGUUUUUGUUGAAUAAAAUUAAUUAUAGUUUAAUAGUUAUGAAAUAUUAUUCAAGUUAUUUUUUAUCUAGUUUUCUAAGAAAUAUAAUGUAAGAUAUUUAUAUUAUUAAGAUAUGUUGGGAUUAGCUUACUUAUUAUUUAUAUUUUGUUUAAUUAAAUUUUAUUGGUGGAGUUAAAGGUUCUUAUUUUUAUUAUGUUAUUAUUUAUUAGAUUUGAUUUUAUGGUUUUUUAGUUUUAUGUUAAGAUUUGGGAUGUUGGUUUAAUUUGUAUUUAACGUUAUAAUGAUGGGAUUAGUAAUAUGUUGUUUAUGAAUUUGGUUUAUAGAUUUAUUUUGGUUUAUAGGAAAAGAAUUAAUUAAUAUUGAAGAAUUAGGCAAUAUUAGCUUUUGACUGUUUAGCAAAAACAUUGUUUUUUGUUUGGAUAAGAAAUAAGGUCUGUCCACUGCUUAGUAGUGAAGGGCUGCAGUAUUUUGACUGUAUGAAGGUAGCAUAAUCAUUAGUUUUUUGAUUGAAAACUGGUAUGAAGGUGAAACAGAGGCUUACUAUUUUAAUAAUAAUUAAUGAAUUUUAUUUUUAUGUGAAAAAUCGUAGUUAGAUUAAAGGGACAAGAAGACCCUAGUAAGUUUUAUCUUUUAUUGUGAUGGGUAUAUAGGUUAUUAAAUUGAUAUGAUUUAUAAUAUGUGGGUUUUGCUGGGGCGGUUGAUAGUUAAACACUGUUUAAUUUUUAAUUUUUGAUGGCGUGAAUUUGAUCUGGUUUGGUCAGUUGUAUGUUAAAUUACUGUAGGGAUAACAGCGUAAUUUUUUUUAAGAGUUCUUAUUGACAGAAAAGUUUGCGACCUCGAU
RNAcentral lists this ribosomal RNA (1054 nucleotides) under Xystodesmus sp. PM-2015. RNAcentral describes it as "partial large subunit ribosomal RNA". The record is from RNAcentral. Lineage: Eukaryota; Metazoa; Arthropoda; Diplopoda; Polydesmida; Xystodesmidae.